CUUGCUCUUCAUUCUUAUCUUCCCAGUUGAGAUUCUCAAUGUUUCUAUAUAUAUACUCUCACUUGGCAUUUCCUUGGUUGUAUCUCCCUCUUCAUUCCAGUGUAGAUAGGCAAGGUUUCUUUCAAUCUUGAGAGAAAUAACCUAGGUAAUUCAAUUUUAUUGAUGAUAUAUAUAUAUAUGGCUUCCUUCAGAUCUGUAGUAGUGAUCAUGGUAGUAUUUGAUCUUUUCAUUUUGUACAAAGAGAUCACUUUGCAAGUUUGAUUUGUUUAGAAGUAAUUAGUUUUGGUCUAUUUUCUUGUUGCAGGUUCUUUGCAAUUACAUUUGUUGAUGGGAAUAGGUGGUAUCGGAAAUGAGGUAUAUUUAUUAUCAUUUGGUUUAAGUUAAUUAUCUAGGUUUUCAAACGCGAUUCUUCAAUUUUUUGUUAUCUAGGUUUAAACACUGCAUCUAAGCUUUAUUGAUUAGAAAUUUGAAUCCACCACUCAAUUCAAUUGACUGGAAAUGUGGUUGAUCUAUAACAUUAUGGAAAACAAUAAUUUUGGGAGGAAUCAUCUGAUCCUGUACAUGUUCAUCUUAUUAGUCUAGGAGCAAAUUAAUGGUGAGCGUAUGUAGGCGCGCUUUUUAAAAUUGCCACAAUUUUAAAUCUAAGGAUCAAAUGAUACCCCUUGGCAUUUGAAAGUCCAUUAAUCAUAUAUAGAUCUGAAUGGAACCCAGAAACUCAUUUGAAAGUACUCCAAAUUAAAUAUGACAAUCAUUUUAUGAUCUACAUUAGAUCCCAUUGUAGAUCGGAAAGGAAGUUAAUCCAACAUUAGUUUGAACUUUGAAGUACUUUGUAGUGGUAUUUCCUUUAAGGUUUAAUUUUGAAAAUAUGGUACUAAGCUUUGUCGAUUAGUGAGAUUGGAUUAUAGUAAGCAAAUGAUGUAGUAAACAUUCAGUAUAUAUGUUUAUUAUCAUAUAAUAUACCUAGUUAUACCAUAUAUAGAAAUUCACUCUGGGACAAAGUUUUAUAGAAACCAUAUUCCACAUGUGGAAUUAUUCCAACAUUAGUAUUUUGAUUUGUGCUUCUUGCACAGUUUAUGGAUAACGGCGUCCAAUAUUGGAUACACAUGCAUAAAAACGCUAUGCAAGUAUUUGUUGCAUCGAGUUAUCAACCAAACUGGAUUACAUACAAUAUUUCCAAGUACGUUAUAAUUUUGUGUUAUUAUGUUCAACCAACUCAAUUAUAUGACUUAGAUAAAUGCAACUCAUUGCAACACAACUUGAAGUAACAGACCUUAAUUAAUUGGAUAUUCUGGUCCUGUAUCAUGGAAAGAACACCAACUAUUUAGCACAACUGAUUUUUUAGAUAAAAGUAAAGUUAUUCUUCAAAAACUCUUCUUCUGUACUUGGGCAAGAAAAAUACUUGAACUUAGACCUCAUAUAAUUCAUGCAUUUAUGACCCGCCCUAAGAACAACUAUGGUUGUUGUGGGUGGAGACAAAGAAUUGAAGCACUUUCUAUAAAAAAAAAAUUGUAUAAAUUUUGAAAUCUAUUGUACAUUGUACGUUUCCUAUGUCUCAAUUACAUUGCACUGGCGAUACUGCAAACAAGAUGGAGAAAUCUUAGGCGAUAUUAGGAUUACAUAAAAAAGGAAUACCUUAUGGUUUGAUUGAUUUUCUCACUUCAAUUCUCUUCAACCGUUAAAAAAUGUUGUCUUCAACCCCUCUUUGCAGUCGAAUCAUCAAUCGAUCUCUCAUCUGAGAGUUACUCAACUGAAGCCGUUGUCGUUGAUUCAAUUUUGAACAAAUUUGCAAUCAUUUUGAAGGUAAAGAUUACUUGAUUUUAUUUUCAAUUAUUUGUUUUAGUUAGUUUCGAUAAUUUACGCAGUUAUUUUAUCAUUUCCAGCUUAAUUGUAUUGUUUUUUCUUUUGAAUUUGGUUCCGAUUUGAUUUUUGUCGAUUUAACUGAGGUAAAACUGAGUUGAUUCUAUCUAAUUGUCUUUUGAUUCAUUCAUAGUUGUUAGAUUCUUUGAUUUUGGUGAAUUUUAUUAUUCAGUUCUAGCUCAAUUUUAAUUUUUUAAUUAUUUUUUCCUUGGAUUGUUUUUUAUUUUAUGUUGAUUUUGCUGCUUAGCUUUGUUUUGCUCUUAGAUCUGAUUUAUAUAAAUACGACAAAACGGUUAUCGAUGAAUUUUGAUUAUUUUUCUGUUCGAUUCAUCGGCCGCCUUUCAAUGUUUGAAUAAUUAGAGUUUAGUGGUACAAAGUUCUGUAAUUAUUAUUAGUCCAAUAAACACUUGUACAAUUGGAACCCGUUAAAGUUAAUCGCACCAAAUAAUCUUGGUUUUAUCGAAUUUAGGCGUGGUAAAAGUGUGUUUUCUAUUUAGAUUUUACUGAAGUACUUAUUAUUUAUGACCAAACCCUAAUUAAUCUGAGAUCAUUUGUUGUGUUACCAAUGUGAUACCAUUUAUGGAAAACAGAUUUAGCUGAAAUUAGUAAUGUUUUAUCACAUAAUUUGCAUUUUUUAGGAAAUUGGAAAUUUGAUUAUGUUUAAAUGUUUUUAUAAAAAAUUUCAGCAAAAUAUUAUUAUAAUUAAGUUACCUUAAGUGAUUAUCUUGAUUAAGCUGAAAUGUCUGAUAGCUAGUUCGAUCAGUUUAGUCUGGGUCUCUAACACUAAUAGCAGUUUGCUAAUUACUUAUGAUCUAAGAUACGUUGCUCUCAUUCCUCAUGAUUAUACUUCGAAUUUUUCUUAAUUGCAUUGUCAAGUUGAUUUAAUUAAAAACUAUAGAAAACAUUUAUUUCUGAUCCCAAUUACAAUUUUGAUUAUUAAUCAUGUUCAUCCUUACCUUAUUGAUUUAUAUAGAACACACAUUUAAUCUUAUGUGUUGGACUUUUGCAGUAAAUAUUGCGGAGGAAGAUAGUCGUGACUCUCUUGUUUUACAUUUGAGUAGGUCUGUCACUGGAUUUGAAUAUGGAAGUUGUCGUCCAAACCUUGAACAAAAUGAAGCUGAUGUUUAAUGUCUUCGUAUAUUGGAUUUGGAGAGAAAGAAAUCACGGGAUCUUCAAGAACCAAAGUAUGCUAGCAACACAGUUGGCUAUACUAAGCAUUAAUUAGAGAUGUGAGAAUCAAGUUGAAUUCAAUCGAAUAUACCAUGUAACUAGGACAAGAGAGAAACAAGAAUGGAGUUAUGGCACAUUCAGAUUUACCAUUGCAGAAUGGAGUUGGGGGAUGGGAAGCUGCUCUUAUAGACCAUGAGGGAACAGUUGUUGCUUUUAUGGGAAGAAUUACAUACAACACAAUUGCGGCCAUUGAACUUCAAGGGUUAGAACAUGGGCUGAAGUUGGCAGUAAGGAACAACACUGGCAAGUUAAGGGCACAAACAGAUUCUAUGAAUGUGGUGUC
Molecule: long non-coding RNA, 3370 nt
Filed under: Aquilegia coerulea
Lineage: Eukaryota; Viridiplantae; Streptophyta; Magnoliopsida; Ranunculales; Ranunculaceae
Description: long non-coding RNA (ACOE_LNC001973)
Source: RNAcentral